GGCCGUGGUGGCCACUUUCCGGGGGGAGGUGGCGGGACCGAGCAGGGCGCACGCCCGGGAGGAAAGCGGCGGGGAGAGGGCACCCGCGUGCGUGUGCGCGCGUGUUGGGGGGCUCUGCCGGGAGCUGCGGUGGCUGCAGCCCACCCGCGGCAGCUUGAGUUUACCACGGGGGCUUUGCUGAAAAGCCCAAAUCAAACAUUGCGACGGAGCCCGGCCAGCGCCGGAGCGGUGGCAGGAGACCGCAGGGCCCGCCGUGCGCCCACUCCACGUCUCCGGCUCCCUGCGGCGCCCUCGGUGCUUCGGCGCCCGAAACCGGCGCUUCUGGGGGUGUCUCUCCUCGGAGGUGCCCGGCCUCCGCCGCCCCGCGGCCUCUCCACCGCCACCACCCAGACGCCAUCAGGCUGGGCAUCCUGGAAGAGAAGCGAGGUCGUCCUCGUAUGUUUGAAACCGGAAGGUGAGAACUGGAUAAAGGAACACCGAUGACACAUUCUGGAGGGAUUCUAGGCUCCGCUUCUCACACCUUUCCUAAAUGCACGCGUGUCCGGAUCUCGACCGACAGCCUUAGCGUUUCACGGCACGAUGAAGAAGUCCUCUGCAGCCCAGUUUCCAUCAGUGCAAACUUUUUAAAGGACACACACGGCCCACCGUUUAAGGCACUCCCCGCACCCACCUCAUCCCCAGCCUCCACUCAAUCCCGCCCUUGGCUGACUCAAUUUCUACGUU
Molecule: long non-coding RNA, 723 nt
Organism: Balaenoptera acutorostrata (minke whale)
Lineage: Eukaryota; Metazoa; Chordata; Mammalia; Artiodactyla; Balaenopteridae
Exons: 3
Source: RefSeq, a predicted model, not a curated record